Molecule: ribosomal RNA, 703 nt
Filed under: uncultured Alphaproteobacteria bacterium
Lineage: Bacteria; Pseudomonadati; Pseudomonadota; Alphaproteobacteria
Description: bacterial SSU rRNA
Rfam family: Bacterial small subunit ribosomal RNA
Source: RNAcentral
ACACAAGCUUGCUAGUGGGCGACGAGUGGCGGACGGGUGAGUAACGCGUAGGAAUCUACCUAGUAGUGGGGGAUAGCCAAGGGAAACUUUGGGUAAUACCGUAUACGAUCUAAGGAUGAAAGGGGGCCUCUCUUUGAAGCUCUCGCUAUUAGAUGAGCCUGCGUAAGAUUAGCUUGUUGGUGAGGUAAUGGCUCACCAAGGCGACGAUCUUUAGCUGGUCUGAGAGGAUGAUCAGUCACACUGGAACUGAGACACGGUCCAGACUCCUACGGGAGGCAGCAGUCGGGAAUAUUGGACAAUGGGGGAAACCCUGAUCCAGCCAUGCCGCGUGUGUGAAGAAGGCCCUAGGGUCGUAAAGCUCUUUCGCCAGGGAUGAUAAUGACAGUACCUGGUAAAGAAACCCCGGCUAACUCCGUGCCAGCAGCCGCGGUAAUACGGAGGGGGUUAGCGUUGUUCGGAAUUACUGGGCGUAAAGCGCGCGUAGGCGGACCAGAAAGUUGGGGGUGAAAUCCCGGGGCUCAACCCCGGAACGGCCUCCAAAACUCCUGGUCUUGAGUUCGAGAGAGGUGAGUGGAAUUCCGAGUGUAGAGGUGAAAUUCGUAGAUAUUCGGAGGAACACCAGUGGCGAAGGCGGCUCACUGGCUCGAUACUGACGCUGAGGUGCGAAAGUGUGGGGAGCAAACAGGAUUAGAUACCCUGGUAG